Molecule: ribosomal RNA, 858 nt
Filed under: uncultured organism
Description: bacterial SSU rRNA
Rfam family: Bacterial small subunit ribosomal RNA
Source: RNAcentral
GGGUGAGUAACACGUAGAUAAUCUGCCUUGAGUGUUGGGGAUAGCCUGUGGAAACACAGGGUAAUACCGAAUAAGCCCUAUGGGGGAAAGUGUGUUAAGUGCACCGCCUUGAGAUGAGUCUGCGGCUCAUUAGUUAGUUGGUGGGGUAAAAGCCUACCAAGGCGACGAUGAGUAGCCGGCCUGAGAGGGUGGACGGCCACACUGGGACUGAGACACGGCCCAGACUCCUACGGGAGGCAGCAGCUAAGAAUCUUCCGCAAUGGGCGCAAGCCUGACGGAGCGACGCCGCGUGAACGAAGAAGGCCGUGAGGUUGUAAAGUUCUUUUCUUACUGAAGAAUAAUCAUUGCAGGGAAUGGCAGUGAGAUGACGUUAGGUAAGGAAUAAGCCCCGGCUAAUUACGUGCCAGCAGCCGCGGUAACACGUAAGGGGCAAGCGUUGUUCGGAAUUAUUGGGCGUAAAGGGCGUGUAGGCGGUUUUACAAGUCUGGUGUGAAAUACCGCAGCUUAACUGCGGGGACGCGCUGGAAACUGUAAGACUAGAGUACAGGAGGGGGACCUGGAAUUCCUGGUGUAGGGGUGAAAUCUGUAGAUAUCAGGAAGAACACCGGUGGCGAAGGCGAGGUCCUGGCCAUGUACUGACGCUGAGGCGCGAAAGCGUGGGGAGCGAACAGGAUUAGAUACCCUGGUAGUCCACGCCGUAAACGAUGUGCACUAGGUGCUUGGGGGUAGCCUUGAGUGCCGUAGCUAACGCGUUAAGUGCACCGNCUGGGGAGUAUGCUCGCAAGGGUGAAACUCAAAGGAAUUGACGGGGGCCCGCACAAGCGGUGGAGCUUGUGGUUUAAUUCGAUGAUACGCGAG